GACGAACGCUGGCGGCGUGCCUAAUACAUGCAAGUAGAACGCUGAAGGAGGAGCUUGCUUCUCUGGAUGAGUUGCGAACGGGUGAGUAACGCGUAGGUAACCUGCCUGUUAGCGGGGGAUAACUAUUGGAAACGAUAGCUAAUACCGCAUAAGAGUAGAUGUCGCAUGACAUUUGCUUAAAAGGUGCAAUUGCAUCACUACCAGAUGGACCUGCGUUGUAUUAGCUAGUUGGUGAGGUAACGGCUCACCAAGGCAACGAUACAUAGCCGACCUGAGAGGGUGAGCGGCCAAACUGGGACUGGAACACGGCCCAGACUCCUACGGGAGGAAGAAGUAGGGAAUCUUCGGCAAUAGACGGAAGUCGGACCGAGCAACGCCGCGUGAGUGAAGAAGGUUGUCGGAUCGUAAAGCUCUGUUGUAAGAGAAGAACGAGUGUGAGAGUGGAAAGUUCACACUGUGACGGUAUCUAAACAGAAAGGGACGGCUAACUACGUG
RNAcentral lists this ribosomal RNA (495 nucleotides) under uncultured bacterium. RNAcentral's name for it is "partial 16S ribosomal RNA". It matches the Rfam family "Bacterial small subunit ribosomal RNA", at positions 28 to 507 of the family's 1533-position model. The record is from RNAcentral.